CCAGCAAUCCGCCUGAGUUCCUUAAAUGACUCGGCGGGCGGCUUCCGGGAAACCAAAGUUUUUCGGUUCCGGGGGAAGUAUGGUUGCAAAGCUGAAACUUAAAGGAAUUGACGGAAGGGCACCACCAGGAGUGGAGCCUGCGGCUUAAUUUGACUCCACACGGGAAAACUUACCCGGCCCGGACACUGGCAGGAUUGACAGAUUGAGAGCUCUUUCUUGAUUCAGUGGGUGGUGGUGCAUGGCCGUUCUUAGUUGGUGGAGCGAUUUGUCUGGUUAAUUCCGAUAACGAACGAGACUCUAGCCUACUAAAUAGGCCACCGGCUUACAUACGUCGGUGGGACUUCUUAGAGGGACAGGCGGCGAUUCAGCCGCACGAAACAGAGCAAUAACAGGUCUGUGAUGCCCUUAGAUGUCCGGGGCCGCACGCGCGCUACACUGAAGUGAUCAGCGUGCAUUUUCCACCUGCUCCGUCAGGAGUGGGGAACCCAAUGAACCUUCUUCGUGAUUGGGAUAGGGGAUUGUAAUUACUCCCCUUGAACGAGGAAUUCCCAGUAAGCGCGAGUCAUAAGCUCGCGUUGAUUACGUCCCUGCCCUUUGUACACACCGCCCGUCGCUACUACCGAUUGAAUGAUUUAGUGAGGUCUUCGGACUGGCCGGCGCAGCUGUCUUCGGGCGGCCGCGCUGUGUU
This 688-nucleotide ribosomal RNA is filed under the name uncultured eukaryote. RNAcentral describes it as "SSU rRNA". It matches the Rfam family "Eukaryotic small subunit ribosomal RNA", at positions 1046 to 1748 of the family's 1831-position model. The record is from RNAcentral.